GAAAUGCGAUAAGUAAUGUGAAUUGCAGAAUUCAGUGAAUCAUCGAAUCUUUGAACGCACAUUGCGCCCGCCAGUAUUCUGGCGGGCAUGCCUGUUCGAGCGUCAUUACAACCCUCAGGCCCCCGGGCCUGGCGUUGGGGAUCGGCGGAAGCCCCCUGCGGGCACAACGCCGUCCCCCAAAUACAGUGGCGGUCCCGCCGCAGCUUCCAUUGCGUAGUAGCUAACACCUCGCAACUGGAGAGCGGCGCGGCCACGCCGUAAAACACCCAACUUCUGAAUGUUGACCUCGAAUCAGAUAGGAAUACCCGCUGAACUUAAGC
Molecule: unclassified non-coding RNA, 320 nt
Filed under: plant metagenome
Description: partial contains 5.8S ribosomal RNA, internal transcribed spacer 2, and large subunit ribosomal RNA
Rfam family: 5.8S ribosomal RNA (bases 1-105)
Source: RNAcentral